RNAcentral lists this ribosomal RNA (336 nucleotides) under uncultured Nitrososphaerota archaeon. Its description in RNAcentral is "bacterial SSU rRNA". It matches the Rfam family "Archaeal small subunit ribosomal RNA", at positions 337 to 668 of the family's 1478-position model. Lineage: Archaea; Thermoproteati; Nitrososphaerota. The record is from RNAcentral.
ACGAAGAAAAACUUUGCAAAUGUGACGAAAAGCACGACAAAGGUUAAUCCGAGUGAUUCCUGCUAAAGGAAUCUUUUGUUAGUCGUAAAAACCACUGAUGAAUAAGGGGUGGGCAAGUUCUGGUGUCAGCCGCCGCGGUAAAACCAGCACCUCAAGUGGUCAGGAGGAUUAUUGGGCCUAAAGCAUCCGUAGCCUGCUCUGUAAGUUUCCGGUUAAAAUCCAUUCGCUCAACUGAUGGGCUGCCGGAAAAACUGCAAAGCUAGGGAGUGGGAGAGGUAGACGGUACUCGGUAGGAAGGGGUAAAAUCCUUUGAUCUAUUGAUGACCACCUGUGGCG